This 557-nucleotide ribosomal RNA is filed under the name uncultured archaeon. Its description in RNAcentral is "bacterial SSU rRNA". It matches the Rfam family "Archaeal small subunit ribosomal RNA", at positions 1 to 549 of the family's 1478-position model. The record is from RNAcentral.
CUCGAGGCCAGAUCUUUCCGGUUGAUCCUGCCGGACCUGACUGCUAUCGGAUUGAUACUAAGCCAUGCGAGUCUUUGUAGCAAUACAAGGCAGACGGCUCAGUAACACGUAGUCAAUCUACCCUAUGGACGGGGAUAACCUCGGGAAACUGAGAAUAAUACCCGAUAGAUCAUUAUGCCUGGAAAGGUUUAUGGUCGAAAUGAUUUAUCGCCGUAGGAUGGGACUGCGGUCUAUCAGCUUGUUGGUGAGGUAAUGGCCCACCAAGGCUAUAACAGAUACGGGCUCUGAGAGGAGAAGCCCGGAGAUGGGUACUGAGACACGGACCCAGGCCCUAUGGGGCGCAGCAGGCGAGAAAACUUUGCAAUGUGCGAAAGCACGACAAGGUUAAUCCGAGUGUUUUCUGCUAAAGAAAUCUUUUGUCAGUCCUAAAAACACUGAUGAAUAAGGGGUGGGCAAGUUCUGGUGUCAGCCGCCGCGGUAAAACCAGCACCUCAAGUGGUCAGGAGGAUUAUUGGGCCUAAAGCAUCCGUAGCCGGCCGUGUAAGUUUUCGGUUAAA